AAAAUCUCGUAAGAGUACAUGGUGGAUGCCUUGACUCAAAAAGACGAUGAAGGACGCAGCAGCCUGCGAUAAGCUUCGGUGAGGUGGCAAGCAACCCUUGACCCGAAGAUUUCCGAAUGGGGGAACCUAUCCUGUUGAAGACAGGAUGUCCGCUCGCUGAAUACAUAGGCGGGUGAGAAGAGUACCCGGUGAACUGAAACAUCUUAGUAGCCGGAGGAAAAGAAAAGAAUUUAAUCUUUUAUCAAUGUUGGCGGUGCUUCGUCAAUCUUGAUAAGAGAUUGUCAUUCCCUUAGUAGUGGCGAGCGAACGGGGAACAGUCCAAACCACUGUAGACCACGCAUGUUUUUUUUCACUUCGGUGAGAUGAAGUAUGCUGAAGGAAUUGAGUCCAUAUGUCUAUGUGGUGUUGCAAGGCUGGUGUGCUGACUACUCAAUGCGGUCAGGCAGAGAACGAUUUGAUUAGCCGAAGCGAACUGGAAAGUUCGGCCGAAGACGGUGAUAGCCCGGUAGGCGAAAAUAAUUUCUACUCUGUGAUACCAGUUCUUAAGUAUCGCGGGACUCGUGAAAUCCCGUGAGAAUCCGGGUCGACUAUGACCCAAGACUAAAUACUUUUUGAGAUCGAUAGUGAACUAGUACCGUGAGGGAAAGGUGAAAAGCAUCCCGGUGAGGGAGAUGAAAUAGUAUCUGAAACCAUGUACUUACAAGCAGUCGGAGCCCGGUUUACCGGGUGACGGCGUGCCUAUUGAAGAAUGAGCCAACGAGUUUGUUGCAUGCGGCUUGAUUAAUUCGCCGAAGGCGAAGUAGUCUCAGUGAAAGCGAGGGUUAAUCGCCCGUUAUCUUACUUAUUAGAAAUGGCAAUGAAAUUUUUGUUGCCUUUCUAAUAUGUAAGAGUGUCGCAUGUACAAGACCCGAAGCCGGGUGAUCUAGCCAUGGCCAGGUUGAACCUUGUAGAAAUACAAGGGGAGGACCGAACCCGUAAGUCGUGCAACACUUUGGGAUGAGCUGUGGUUAGCGGAGAAAUUCCAAUCGAACUCGGCAAUAGCUGGUUCUCCUCGAAAUAGCUUUAGGGCUAGCCUUGAGCGCUGAACAUAGGGGGUAGAGCACUGAAUAGAGGCGGGGCGCAAGCUACCGUCUUUAACCAAACUCCGAAUACCUAUGCGUGAAGCUCAGGAGUCAGACUGUGGGGGCUAAGCUCCACUAGUCAAAAGGGAAACAGCCCAGAUCGCAAUCUAAGGUCCCUAAAUAUAUACUAAGUGUUAAAGGUGGUGUCGUGACUGCGACAACUAGGAGGUUGGCUUAGAAGCAGCCAUCCUUUAAAGAAAGCGUAAUAGCUCACUAGUCUAGUCGUCUCGCGCCGAAAAUGUAUCGGGGCUAAGUAUAUUACCGAAGAUGCGGACUCUCCAUGCGAAUGGAUGAGUGGUAGAGGAGCAUUCCAAACCCGCUGAAGCCGUAGUGUGAGCUGCGGUGGAGGAUUUGGAAGAGAGAAUGUUGGCAUAAGUAGCACAAAGGCGGGUGAAAACCCCGCCCACCGAAAGUCUAAGGGUUCCUGGGCAACGCAACUCGACCCAGGGUUAGUCGGUCCUAAGGCGAGGUCGCUGUAGUGGCGACGUAGUCGAUGGAUGAGCUGGUUAAUAUUCCAGCACUACUUCAGUUUUCCGAUGGGGGGACGAAGUUCCGUGAUUCAAGCGUUUCUAUGGUAUGAACGUCGCUAGCCGCAAGAAUAGAUCCAGGCAAAUCCGGGUCGAUAUUUCAAGCGGUCGGCGGAAGACAAAGCCCUCGGGUGGCGUCAAUUUGAAUAAAGGAGCUUCCAAGAAAAACCUCUAGGGUUAAGGCUGAAGUAUCCGUACCGUAAACCGACACAGGUAGACGAGGCGAGAAGCCUAAGGUGUACGAGAGAACCCUUGUUAAGGAACUCGGCAAAACAGCGGUCGUAAGUUAGCAAUAAGACCUGCCCGGAGCAAUCCGGGCCGCAGCGAAAGAUUUCAAGUGACUGUUUAUCAAAAACACAGCUCCCUGCUAAAUCGCAAGAUGAUGUAUAGGGGGUGAUGCCUGGCCAGUGUCCGAACGUUAAGAGGAGAGGUUAGUCCUUCGGGGCAAAGCUUUGAAUUUAAGCGCGGAUGAACGCCGGCCGUAACUAUAACGGUCCUAAGGUAGCGAAAUUCCUUGUCGGGUAAGUUCC
RNAcentral lists this ribosomal RNA (2178 nucleotides) under bioreactor sludge metagenome. RNAcentral describes it as "bacterial LSU rRNA". It matches the Rfam family "Bacterial large subunit ribosomal RNA", at positions 1 to 1984 of the family's 2925-position model. The record is from RNAcentral.